Molecule: long non-coding RNA, 975 nt
Organism: Brassica oleracea var. oleracea
Lineage: Eukaryota; Viridiplantae; Streptophyta; Magnoliopsida; Brassicales; Brassicaceae
Exons: 3
Source: RefSeq, a predicted model, not a curated record
AUUCCAACAAACAAUAUAUUUCCGUUUUUCUCUAUCCCUUUCAACUAAAUAAUUUUUGACAUAAUUAAAAUUUUUUGUGAUCUGGAACAAGAGAUUAUCGCAGAUUUGCGGAUUUCAAGUUAAGCGUUUUGUAAGAGGUGAUUACGAAGGUGAUUUGUCUUAGGGUUCGGAGAAGUGGAUGAAGGUUUUGCGACUUGAUUUUCAUCUUGCUAGAAAACCCUUUAGUGGCUUCUCUAAUGGUGGUUCUGAAUUCAAGAUGGAGACGUUGAUCCCUGCUGCACUAACAAGUUUCAAGUUCACAAAAAAAAUCAAAAGAGAGGGAAGAUUAAGCACUGACUGAUUAACAUAAAUAUAUUUGUCUUUUUAUUUAUCCGAGAACUCCUUUGUGGUUUUGUUGACAUUUGGUCGGUGUUGGUGAUUUGUAGGGUCUGGGUUUGAAGAAUCUUGGGAAUACAUAUUUUCUGAAUUCUGUAUCGCAAUUUUAGACAUACACUGAGUGCUUAGAUGCUUACUUUCUAGAUGUUGGCAAUGUGAAACGCUGUAUGUUGCAUUUAUAAGCUGGUUUGAUUAAUUGCUUGGCUUGGUGGGUCUUUUAUUCAGUGUCUAAUUGGAUGUUCUCAUGAAAACGUUUGUGUAGUCCAUGUGACUGGGUUUUGUGCUUUAUGUGCAAUUCAGAGGCAUGUUAGGACGGCCCUUCAAGCUCCUGGCAGAAUAGCAGCACCAAGUCUCAAACUUAGGAGGAUCUUCUUUGAGGAAUGAGAGGUGUCAUUGUCAAAAAUGCCGAAAUGAUGAAAACAAUGAUUUUCACAAAAAUUCCAGUGGAUGUCGAUCAUAUGCUUUAAUUGGAGGAUAACAAUCAAUAAACACCUCAGCUUUUGUCUAUCAUUUUCAUAAGAUUUUUUUGUUUCACUCAUAUAUUUGUGUACCUCUCAGCUUUCCUGAUGUUAAAGAGCAGGAAACUUCAGCAGUUGAUUA